This 213-nucleotide unclassified non-coding RNA is filed under the name plant metagenome. RNAcentral describes it as "partial contains small subunit ribosomal RNA, internal transcribed spacer 1, and 5.8S ribosomal RNA". The record is from RNAcentral.
UCUCCGUAGGUGAACCUGCGGAGGGAUCACUACGGGCUUGCAAAAGCUCUGAAACCACUGUUUAUCUACCUGAAUCUGCUUCGGCGGGCGGCCCCAGGGCGGGGCCGUAGCCGCAAGGCGCCCGCCGAAGACCCCUAAACUCUGUCGUCUUGAGAAUCUCUGAGUAUCAUAUUAAACAGAAAACAACUUUCAACAACGGAUCUCUUGGCUCUG